This is a long non-coding RNA of Alosa alosa (allis shad), 2445 nucleotides long. RefSeq lists it as uncharacterized. The transcript is spliced from 3 exons. The record is from RefSeq and is a predicted model, not a curated record. NCBI's taxonomy places the organism in Eukaryota, Metazoa, Chordata, Actinopteri, Clupeiformes, Clupeidae.
GUUGCAGCAUAGAUCACAUUCGUCGUUCCAGAUGCGAUUUGUGUGUGGUAUGAACUUCUCAAUGAAGUUUCGUUUUAGUGUUAUCCACAUAAUUUGCCCUUUUAGUGUAUUUAAAACAACAUAAUGUUCGGUUAUUUUCAGCAUCUCCUGUUGCAAAGUUUACUCAAGGUAAACUCUGACAAUUCAGACUUUCUAUUCAGAGAACGGGCAAAGGUCAUGCAGCCCCACCCAGUCCCGAGUUUGUUUUAUCUGGAAAGACGGGAGGAGACGCCCUGUCGUGAUGGGUGAUCAUGAUUGCGGACGUGAUGGUGGUCAGUGGAUGUUCAUAGCAAACAACAUUCCUGAGCAGGACAGCCCUGUUGGAACCUGGAUGUUAAAGUUAAAUUGAAAGUUGGCUGACUGGUAUUUAGCAGACACUUGUAUCCAAGGCGCCACAGACUCGCAGCGGUGGAUUCGAGAAUCGAACUCAGGUCGACUGAUUGUUAGUUGGUGAUGUCACCGCCGCUCCACCACGCCCGAGAUUAUGGCAGAGUGGUGUUACGGGCCACACCGUACCCUCCUUCUGACCUUUGACCCCUAAUGGUAUGGGCGCCAUGCCAGCCAAGCCAAGCCAAGAUCAUCAGCAUCAUAGCGACUGCCUGUUCCAAUCCAGCCCCACCUCAGUCUGAGGUGGAGGAAGAGAUGGAGUGAGAUGGAGGAAAUUAUGACUGCUGUGUUUACCCUAAAUAAACAGUCAACAAUGAGUGGAACUUCCCGUUAUGUCUCCAGCUGUGAGGUGUGUGAGUGUGUGUGUGUGUGUGUGUGUGUGUGUGUGUGUGUGUGUGUGCGUGUGUGUGUGUGUUUAACUUUUUGUGUAUAUUUGCCCUACAAAGUCCCAAAAAUUCUACAUAGGACUCCUGAAGGUUUUACACGGUCAAGAAAAAAUUAACGGUCAUAUAGGGAUUAAUCAGCUUAACCAAUUUAGGACUUUGUGUGUGUGUGUGUGUGUGUGUGUGUGAAGGGUAUCAAUUCAAUCUGCACUUUAAUUACCAGCCUGCCCUGGCAGUGGGCAGGUAUGGUGACGAGGGUGCGGACAGUAUUCCGGUGGAUGUCCCCUCUGUCCCUCCCAGACCUGGUCCUCUCCACCUGGUCUGGGGGUUUCAGGGUCUCCACUACAACACACACACACACACACACACACACACACACACACACACACACACACACACACACACACAAGGGGUCUCAUGUUGAGGGCAGUGACAAUGAUGCAGAGUGGUCACUUAGGCUGAGCAGAAGUGCUCCUGAAGAUUAUGUGGAUUUCAUCAUUAGUUUUUGGAUAUCAUCAACACUCUCAUAGUCAGCUUUGGAUAUCAUCAACACCCUUAUAGUCAGCUUUGGAUAUCAUCAACACUCUCAUAGUAUCAACAACACUCUCAUAGUCAGCUUUGGAUAUCAACAACACUCUCAUAGUCAGCUUUGAAUAUUAAUUGGAUUGCUAGCUAUGGACAGCAGCAGAUCUUAGUGAGAUCCACAAGACCACUCAGCCCAUGUCACUGCCCUUAAAAUAGACCCCAUAGUGUAUGUUAGUGUGUGUGUAUGUGUGUGUUUGUGUAUCUGUAUCUGUCUUUCUGCAUGUCCGCACUGCACCUCACCCAUAGGAGACUAAGAGAGUGGGUGGGAUUGGGGUGGGAAUCUCCUCCAAAUGACUCGUAAUGUGGUAACAAGAUCCCUAUCCAGAUUGAUAUCAGCUAUUUUUCUGUGUAUGUUCAUGUCCAGGUUUUUUCUUUCCUUGGGUUUUGUUUAAUUCUUAUUUGUGCCUUUCAUUGGUUAAAUCCCAGUAUUCUUUUCUUUUCAGAUGUAUACAAACUGCUUGAUUUACAUGUUGACAUUUCAUUCGAUAAAGAUUUAACCAACUGUUUUCUAUUCUGCUUUAAUACUUUGUUCAUUGAAGGAACGACUGAUAAAAGAGAGGGACGGCUGAUGUCAGAGUGACAUCAGAGUGUUCUACACAUCCUCUCCAAGACUUGUCACACUGAGCAAGACCUCUGCAGAUGUUACACACACACACACACACACACACACACACACACACACACACACACACACACACACACACACACACUGAUUUACUAUACAUGUUCAGGAUACCAACACCAGAGCUACAAGUGAAAAACUGCAAAACACAAUAGAUCCUUUUUUUUAAAUGACCAAAUUGGACAGAAUGGAAUUCAGUUAGAGAUAUUAAAAUGAAUUAUUAAAUGGACUUAAAUGAAGUUAAAUUAAUUGAUCUGACAUCAUCCAGGAUUGUCUGAAGAAGGUACAAGAUUGUAUGUCUUUACAACAGCAUGUUGUUGUGAGGAUGCAUUGCUUGACAUGGUGCUCUUUCUCAAUGAGUCCUUUUCCUGAUUUACUGCAAUCUCUCCGCUGGUGGUUUGAAAAUAAAUAGUCCCACUCACAAGGACA